AUUGAACGCUGGCGGCAUGCCUUACACAUGCAAGUCGAGCGGCAGCGCGGGGGCAACCCUGGCGGCGAGCGGCGGACGGGUGAGUAAUACAUCGGAACGUGUCCUUUCGUGGGGGAUAACCAGUCGAAAGACUGGCUAAUACCGCAUGAGAUCUCACGGAUGAAAGCGGGGGACUCCGAGGGUAACUUCGGGGCCUCGCGCGAUUGGAGCGGCCGAUGUCGGAUUAGCAGUUGGCGGGGUAAAAGCCCACCAAGGCAACGAUCCGUAGCUGGUUUGAGAGAACGACCAGCCACACUGGGACUGAGACACGGCCCAGACUCCCACGGGAGGCAGCAGUGGGGAAUUUGGACAAUGGGGGCAACCCUGAUCCAG
Molecule: ribosomal RNA, 372 nt
Filed under: uncultured bacterium
Lineage: Bacteria
Description: bacterial SSU rRNA
Rfam family: Bacterial small subunit ribosomal RNA
Source: RNAcentral